UACAGAGGUCCCAAGCGUUGUUCGGAUUUACUGGGCGUAAAGGGUGCGUAGGUGGCGGGGUAAGUCUGGUGUGAAAGCUCCGAGCUCAACUCGGAAAAGCAUUGGAAACUAUUCCGCUAGAGGGUCGGAGGGGAGACUGGAAUUCUCGGUGUAGCAGUGAAACGCGUAGAUAUCGAGAGGAACACCAGUGGCGAAGGCGGCACUCUGGGCCAGUACUGACGCUGAGGAGCGAAAGCGUGGGGAGCGAACAGG
Molecule: ribosomal RNA, 252 nt
Filed under: uncultured bacterium
Lineage: Bacteria
Description: partial 16S ribosomal RNA
Rfam family: Bacterial small subunit ribosomal RNA
Source: RNAcentral